ACGAAAUAGUCGGGGGGCCACGUAUUACGCGUUGGCUGAGAUCGAAAUUCGAGACCCGUUGAACCUGAUUCAGUUAGCACUGACGUAGGGAACUAUGAGCACUUUGCC
Non-coding RNA from Vibrio sp. EJY3, 108 nucleotides. The record is from Rfam. Lineage: Bacteria; Pseudomonadati; Pseudomonadota; Gammaproteobacteria; Vibrionales; Vibrionaceae.